This 253-nucleotide ribosomal RNA is filed under the name uncultured bacterium. Its description in RNAcentral is "partial 16S ribosomal RNA". It matches the Rfam family "Bacterial small subunit ribosomal RNA", at positions 524 to 776 of the family's 1533-position model. The record is from RNAcentral.
CACGUAGGGCGCGAGCGUUGUCCGGAAUUAUUGGGCGUAAAGAGCUCGUAGGCGGCCUGUUGCGUCCGCUGUGAAAACUCGAGGCUCAACCUCGAGACGCCGAUGGAAACCGUCUGGCUAGAGUCCGGAAGAGGAGAGUGGAAUUCCCGGUGUAGCGGUGAAAUGCGCAGAUAUCGGGAAGAACACCCGUGGCUAAGGCGGCUCUCUAGUACGGUACUGACGCUGAGACGCGAAAGCGUGGGGAGCGAACAGG